UACGGUGUUUGAAUAUUGGGCCAUGCUUUACAAAGUGAUUUGAUAAUUGGGCUAUGAUCUGGUCUGCCGUGAGUAUGGGCCUCCAUGGACAUGCACAAAAAGAUAGAAGAAGAGCCUAAUCUCUUAUCCUCUCUAAUCGCAACCGUGUCCGGUGGCCGGCGCUCAGGGCGCCGCCGCCGACCAAGUGCGCGAAACUGUGCUAGGAACACGCUGCAGCGCCAAUGCUGCGUGUCCGUGCCCCCGCCACCAUGGUCGAGCACCAGCCCUUCGUGGCUCUCUCGGACGGAGCUCGUCGUGACGGGCCGGCGAGGAGCCUUGCCGCAGUAGUCGGGCGGCCAGGAGCUCGUGCUCCUUGGUUGGUCCAGCGGCAGCCAUCAGUGGCCAUGGGGGAUCCAUCUCCGGCGGACACCAAGGUUCAUACGUUCGGCUGAUCCAUUCCCCUAUAUAUGCAACUUCAUUUAGGUGCUCAGUUUUGCUUAUUGCAUCCGUGUUACAGUUCACUGCAAAAUUGCGAACCACGAGCGAUUGUUGUUGCUUUAUGCCUUUAGUAACCACUGAACCGGAGGGUGGGGCCUUGGGGGUGGGUGGGAUUUAUCACCAUUACCAUCUCUGAAUUCUACCUCAGUCAUUAUUCAUGCUCAGUCACUACUUUUGUUGCAAAUUCAAAGUUUGAAAUUUGAAGAAGUAAAAUUAGGACCUAAUGAUUUGCUUCCGAAAUAUCUAAUUGAGCGAUCCAACAGAUGAGGUGUCUUGAAGGUUUCUGCUGAGAUAAAGUCCAUGCAAAUAAUAGUAAAAGAAAUGAUCUUUGACUCAUGGACGGUGCCAUUUCAUUUUUCUGUUAUUUUCCCAAGCCAUAUUUGCUUUCAGUAUGCAUAACAGGGAUUACUUCUCAAUAUAGCGAUGGGCAACCCUCCUGCCCGUUUAAAGAAAAAAAAAGUUCUAUGGUACUGCAUCUCAAGUCUUAAUUAAAAUCCAGCGGCCUAUGAAAUAUUGAAAUGGAACUGAUUGAGCCUACUAAUUCAAGUCCUUCCUUUUAACUAAAUCCCCUUCCUUUUCUAAUGAAGUCUAACAUUCUUGCUAGUUACACUUUCCUUUGACUUUCAUCUUGCUCCUAGAUUGUUAGACAUCGUAUUUAAUUUUCUGUGAUCAGCUUACAUCUGGUUAUAAAGAUAACAAACAUUUUUUGGUACCUGCUAAUGAGCAUGAUCUUGCACUACUAAAUCUUCACCUCUUCCCUACCAGCAACUACUACAACCACGGUACUACAUUAAUCUUUUCUAGCAAUACAUGCACUCCCAGAUCCACUCAUGUAUAUUGAUUUAUUAAGAGUGAUGUUAAUCCUCUUCCAAGUGCAGAUUUUUCAUACAUUGUUGAGCACAUCAUGGCAGAGAUGGUGACUUCUUCCAAGUUCCUUGUCCGCUACUGUGUAGAUGAAAUAUUUUCAAACUUUAAUUACCCUAUCAUUGAUAGUUACUGAUAGAGAUUGAAAUCACGCAAAAUGUUCAAUGCAUUCAACUGAGAAUUCAGGAUUACAUAUAUAGCCCAGGAUCAAGGCAAUCUCAACCACCUUGUUUAUAGAAACAGAAUCAAGGGGGGAGAUUGCCGAUAUGGACCCAUGCGUGAUGAACGCAAGCAACAAGCCAGGCAACAGCCGUGGCAUGCAAGCCUAGCUAGGUUGCUAACAGUUACCACACUAACACCUCCAUUUUCACAUGACUUGACACACCUCUUCGUCUUUUUUUCCACAUGAUGGCGUUGUUGGCCAAGUAUAUUCACACCUGUAAUGAAGUGGAAAGUCUCGACAUUGACUUAAGGCCGACUUAUUGACUAAACAACAUCCCUUGGAGAGACCAAAGCUAAACCCCUCACUAUUGAAGUCAUCUAACAUGGCCAUCACUUUCUUCUCGCUCUUUAAGUUCUCAAUCUUCCCUUGCAGUAAGCAGGUUUACUCUCAAGAGUACAUUGGAUAGCUGUCUACCUCCUCCAUGCCAUUCAAUUAAAGGAAGGAAUACUGCUUGAACAUGGCAGAGAUAGUCAGUUCUGCAAUUGUCCAGGAGACAGUUAGCCAAAUCCUAUCUGGUCUUGCUCAAAAAUAUGAGGUGAAAGAGGAAUCUAAUUCGAGCAGAAACUUGGAGAGGCUAGAGAUGGCACACAUCAAGAUGGAAUCUGUGCCCACGUGACCGACAAAUGGCAAAUCACUGAUGUGCCACUACUACGGUGGCGGAGCAAGCUGAAGCGUGCUGCCCAGGAGUGUGGUGAUACGUUGCAAAGGUGCAAGCAGCGUGCCAUAGAAGAGCAAGAGAUCAGGCAGCGGGUGAGUCAGUUAUCAUAUCCCAAGCGGAUUGCUUAUGCUACCAAGUCAUUCAUCUCAUCUAUUACUCGAUCUAGUAAUGACGAGUCAAGAAGUAGUUCUACUGAUGUUGUUCAAAGAUUUGAGAGGUUUGCAGAUGGAGCAAAUGAAUUCCUUAAAUUUGUUGAGUUCAGUGGAACCCCACGGCAGUACAUGUUCUUCAACCAUCUCAUCAGCAGCCUUCUUAGAGGGAAGGCUCUUAGGUACCAAGCAUUUCAAGGAAGAAGAUUUUACUUCUUAGGCAUAUGACCCAUGAGCUCUCCGGAUCGUGGAGUAGAGGCGAUGGUAGGCUUUGUUUGCCAUGACUUCAGGGAACUUACAAAGGGUUUCAGGCUAGGAUUCAUGCUACGUCUGUCUGAAAGUACAGAUGUAUUCGGUGUUAUAAUCAAGUGCAUGCAGUCAGUCGCACCUCACUUCAAGUUUGCAGCUGAAGGUGUCAAGAGAGAGCUCAUCCAGUUGCCUAACCAGGAUUUUUCUUGGGUAACACAAUCUCCUUAUGGUGAAAGUGCAUACUGGUUCAAUGUCCACAACACUUUGACUCAAUGGUUUCGUCCAAACCCUCUCUGCUGCAAUCAGCAUGAGCAGAAUUUGAGCGUUUCAUCUAGAACCAACAAGACAGCAGCUUCAUCGUUGAGACUAUUGUCAAGUAUAUUUCCAGAGGAGGUUAUUUCAAUGUUUUUACAGUGCCAUGUCUCACUAUCUUAUGAUCAUAAAUACAUUCGAAGUUCUGGUGUUGAACACAAAGGAAGUAGUUCUGUGAAUUCAGAUAUGCCUCUCUUAAAGCUAGGAGUUUUGUUCUUACCACAUGACUCCCUAGAGGAUGUAGAGACUGAAACCGAGAGCUAUGCUUUGGAAGUGAUUGGUGAAGAGGUGCAGGAAAUGGUUCACAAGAAUGCAUGCCUACAAGAUAUCGAUGAGAAGUUGCUGCCAAAAGCCAUAGGUUACCUCUAUCAAAACAAAGAGUCAAGGAUGUAUCAAAUGUGUAUGAAGUCUAGCCAUGGCACUGCGAACCUUUGUGUGGAGAAGACAAGAAGGCGUCGAAGUAAAGCCUCCAGAUCACGGAUUUUGGAUAAAAGCGUAGUCCAACAGCGAGAUAAUUACAGCAUAGCAGGAUGGAAGGAGGUGGCCAAAGAGGACCUACUUAAGCUUUGGGUUGUGCGUUCAUCUGACAAGAUGGAAGGCUCGAUCUGAUCCUGCACCGGCCAUGCAUUUCUAUUUCUAUAUAUGAUUCGAGCGCGACUCCGCCAGCGGCCAGGACAUCCACGUCAGUGAAAUUUUUUUACAGCGUCCGAUGAUUAAUCUACGGCUUACUUUUACUUCACCCAUGAGUUACUGUUCCAGUAAAUAUCUCUUGCGACUCUUCGAGAGCUUUCUUGUUCCUCCGGCCUUUUCCAUGGCGCGAUCUCUGGUCCUUCUCCUAAAUCCAGCCUCCCUGUUCCAGCCAUCGCUCGCUUCAUCUGCUCCUUCCGCUCGGAGGCUGAGCGGACAGUGAAGGAGGUGGCGACGGCGGCGGCCACGGCGGUAGCAACAAGGAGGCCGGCGCCCAGCGGCGGAGCUCCUCGGCCGCCUCCCAGACUCGGCUCGCACAAUCCUAUCCAUGAUGGUUGAUUCCCGUGGAGCUCGAUCUGGCGCAGCCUCUCCACCAUGAUUUCCCCGGUCAACGGACGCCCCCCUUCCCCUCCGUCACCGCAUCCUCCACCUCCUCCCUCUCGCGGCCUCCGCUGCUGCUGCUGUAGCACUCGGAGCCGACGACAGCGCCACGGCUGUCUCCAAGGGCUGGAGCCUCCGGCGUCGCCGUCCAUGGUCUGCUCGGUGCUGUAGCAUGCGGAGCCGACGAGAGCCACACGGCCGUUCCCGAGAAUCGCGGCCUCCGCCGCUCAUGCUCCACUUGGCGCUGUAGCACGCAGAACCGACCACAUCCCAGCUGCCGGCGGCGUCCUUGCGGGUAGCGGCCUCCGCCACUGCCACUCACGGUUUGCUCGGCAAUAAUGGCGCAUGAGAGUGGUUGCUGUGCAUGGCGAACGGUGGCGGCGCGGUAGUGGGCAACACUGGCAAGCGACUUCCUUCCAAGCUGCAAUGGUCCAGGAAGACUAUCUUCCUCGCGAGCGGCCUCAACCUCGCAGGUGAGGUUUUUCUCCCGUCACAAUCCCCCCUCUUGCUGUCCACAACUCACGGAGACACAGUGUGCUGCCUCUUCCCAACCCAAAUCGGAUUUGCAGUCAGUCAAUUGAACUCGCCUCAGCCCAAACCGGGUCCUUUACCCUUGGAUUGAGCCCUCUGACUCACUUUCUAACCACUUUUGCUUCCGCAUCAAAUCCAUCUCCCAACUCUGUUCUUUCCCCAAUUUAUUUAUAUUCAGAUCCAACGCAUGCUUUCCCUCAUUUCUUGCUAAAAUCAGAACACAUUUCCUUUCAAAAUGGGUACAAUAAUCUCCAAUCCGUGACACUCCAAUCCGUGCAGGUACCUGCUUGCUCCAAAUCCAAGAAUCUCACACAUCGGUGGCCAGGCUUGCAACAAGGGCGGCACUGCAUGAGUUCUGGAUUUUUUGAAGGUAGAAGCUCUGAAUUAGUAUUGAAGAAGAAGAUGCAAGCACAGCUAGACCCAAUUGACAACAAGCAGGUUGAAUAGGAUGGCUAGGAGGUAGCGGCAUCUAUAUUUCACAGAGAGGCAAAUGCAAGUGAUGACCGUCAAAAAGUAAGAUGUCCUAUCAUCUUCAGACGAAGAUAUAGAAUAUAAAAGAGUUAAACGGUCACUGCCCUGCCUUUUCUUGAAAGACAAAAUUAUUGGCAUAGAUUACCUCUAUUAUCAGGAUCAUUAUAACAGCUGGCCAUGUAUCAUACAUGCCUCCGUUUCUUAAACAAAAUUUCUAAGGAUCCCUAACUUCUAGUUUAUUUUGAGAAGAUACUCUUCUAAACCGAGCUAUGCUCUAAUUAUAAUUUCAGAACAGUCAUUUUUGUUUCAGUGAUCCACUUCACGGCAACCAGGGCCAUGUGUGAUUCAUAUGUGUAAUGCAUUUGCUUUCCUGUGCAUUUAUCACAAGGUACUAUGCAUUUAGGUUCAAGUCGAGUUAUAGUGACAUUACACUCAGCUUUCCCAGUAGUUAAAUGGACUCCAUCAAUAUUAAGGGUCUGCAACUAAAUUGCUUUUAUGUAAGCCAAGUCUAAGACUAGAGCAUUUCUGGUUUGGCAAGUUACUAUUACUUCCUGUUCAUUUUUCCUUUUAGCAACAAAGAUUGAGUUAACCGUGAUAUAAAAUUUUCUACUGCCAUUUUCGGUGGUCAGCAUCCGAUCCCAGGAGCAAAAAUGCUAAGAAAGACAAGAGCACAUGGUCGCUGCAAGUUUUUUAUCUGGCUUGCUCUACACGAUCGCUGUUGGACUGCAGCUAGAAGGAAAAUUGAUACUUAAAAUUAUAACCUCAUACUUUCUCUCUCUCUCUCUCUCUCUCUCUCUCUCUCUCUCUCUCUCUCUCUCUCUCUCUCUCUCUCUCUUUUAUUUUGUAUCGAUGCUAUUCUGGACGAACAUGAUUCGAAUGGUGAGGUAUUGCUCUUUCUUUUGUGGGUCUAAGCUGCUGUCCCUAAUUAAGUCCAAGCAAGAUUUAAGUCCAUAGUACCAAUUUCAUGUAUGAUCAAAAGAGUAUGAAAUGGUAGAACAAGUUUGUUCUUUGUAUGAUCAAAAGAGUAUGAAACCGUUGAAAAAGUUUGCCCUUUGUCUGACCACUGACAACACGCUUCACUGCUUACUUUCCAGCUAUUGUGGUCCCAAGUGUGAAAAUGUUGACAAGGUAUGGAUACUCUUGUCUUGUCGAUCAUAUAUAUGGCCUGCAAUAGAAGGCCUCUUUCCCCAUGAUGACCUUGCACAUGUCCUGCAAUUUAUUCAAAUGACCUCUUGCAUGUGUUCUGCAAAUUACUCCAGCCACGUAUCAUGUGGUCUUGCGUCUUUUCCAGAUUUUCCUCUCACUGUUUAUUGCCACUGUAAUUUACAUGCAGAUCCAGCAUUGCCAUC
This is an RNA transcript of Panicum virgatum (switchgrass), 6351 nucleotides long. RefSeq lists it as uncharacterized. The record is from RefSeq and is a predicted model, not a curated record. The transcript has 4 exons. NCBI's taxonomy places the organism in Eukaryota, Viridiplantae, Streptophyta, Magnoliopsida, Poales, Poaceae.